Molecule: microRNA, 19 nt
Filed under: Brachypodium distachyon (stiff brome)
Lineage: Eukaryota; Viridiplantae; Streptophyta; Magnoliopsida; Poales; Poaceae
Also listed under: 1 other name
Description: bdi-miR169e-3p
Gene: bdi-miR169e-3p
Source: miRBase by way of RNAcentral
GGCAGUCUCCUUGGCUAGC